This is a long non-coding RNA of Zingiber officinale, 1170 nucleotides long. RefSeq lists it as uncharacterized. The record is from RefSeq and is a predicted model, not a curated record. The transcript has 4 exons. Lineage: Eukaryota; Viridiplantae; Streptophyta; Magnoliopsida; Zingiberales; Zingiberaceae.
GUCGAACCCUAUCUUUCCCAUUCACCUGCCGAUCUCCUCUUCCUAAGCCCUCACCCUCUCGCGGCCUCUCCUCUCCACACGGCACCGAGCUUCUUCUUCCUCAAGCCUUCACCCCACGAGCACCAGCCUACCACUUCCUUUCCCAAGCCAGUACCUUGCGACGCCACCUCCUCUGCCCUCGCUGAACCUCUUCUCCCCAAGCCAAGCCGACGCACUCUUCUCUUCCAGAUCUGCCACCAUCGUCUCCGACCAGAAGCAAGGAGUCACUGCCGCCCUUUCUCAUUGCUUUGAUGUCAUUGCCGAUGGGAAGGGGAGCUAUGAGGGCACUUCGUCGCAUCCGAUUCCACCUCUUCAAUCGAACCCUAGUCGUUGAUUCACAACCGGCCGAGCAUGCUGGAUAUCUGCUGGAAGUCGCCGAUCGAGUCCAAUAUGCGCUCGACAUCGCCAUUGCCUUCCCUCUGCCCUAGCUUCAAUCCACCGAUUUUCCCUUUCUCCCUAGCUGUUGUCGCCCACACGUCUCCGAAGAUAUAGCGCCACCAAAUCUCGACAGCAUCUAGCCAUCGUUGGCUAAGUAGCUAGAGGAUCUAAUGAUCACCUAAGUUUGUACGUCGUCGAUCUGCUUCCUUAGGGCGCCAACGUUGUGUCUGAUGAAUGGAUUGUUGAUCUCUUCUACACAUUCUGCUGUAGAGAGGGCAACACCUUUGUCUUUUUUCGAUUAUCACGGUGCGUGCGCAAUCCAUAGCUUGGGCCACCAUUUCCGGCAGCAAGAUCUUUAGCCGUGAGAUAAUAGUGGAGCAACCAAAUUAAGGUAAGCAAUGUAUGGAGAUUUGAUUUCAAUUAUGUGAUGGGUUGGUGGAUAUGAAGUUGUAUCAGAUUUUGAUGGAGAUCUUGAAAUCCGUUAUUGUCCUGCAGUGAUCUUGGAGGCAAUGGCUACACUUGGUUCCGGACACCACACCGUCGAUAGAGGACAGUCAUCUUUGUUGAAUUCGUGGUCACCACAGGCUGUUGAAGAAGGAAAAAGGACUUUGAUUCGAGACGAGUGUCUCGACGUGGGAUUGUAUUUGGCACGAUCUACAUUUAAGGCGGGUACUUCUUACUUUGAUUAUGUAGUUCUUUGAACUUGGUACGUGAACUAUUUUGAAUAAGAAAUUGUUUUUACCUUGACUUCAC